GAUGAACGCUGGCGGCGCGCCUAACACAUGCAAGUCGAACGGUUAAAGCACCUUUUAGGUGUGUAUAAAGUGGCGAACGGCUGAGUAACACGUGGGCAACCUGCCCUCCUCUUGGGGAUAGCCUCGGGAAACCGAGGAUAAUACCCGAUACUUCAAUGUGGCCGCAUGACGACAUUGAGAAAGCUUUUGCGGAGAAGGAUGGGCCCGCGGCCUGUUAGCUUGUUGGUGGGGUAGAGGCCUACCAAGGCAAUGAUGGGUAGCUGGGUUGAGAGACCGACCAGCCAGAUUGGGACUGAGACACGGCCCAGACUCCUACGGGAGGCAGCAGUGGGGAAUCUUGCACAAUGGGCGAAAGCCUGAUGCAGCGACGCCGCGUGCGGGAAGAAGGCCUUCGGGUUGUAAACCGCUUUCAGCAGGGACGAGGCGAAAGUGACGGUACCUGCAGAAGAAGCCCCGGCUAACUACGUGCCAGCAGCCGCGGUAAUACGUAGGGGGCAAGCGUUAUCCGGAUUCAUUGGGCGUAAAGCGCUCGUAGGCGGUCUGUUAGGUCGGGAGUUAAAUCCGGAGGCUCAACCUCCGCCCGCUCCCGAUACCGGCAGACUUGAGUUUGGUAGGGGGAAGGUGGAAUUCCUAGUGUAGCGGUGGAAUGCGCAGAUAUUAGGAAGAACACCAGUGGCGAAGGCGGCCUUCUGGGCCAUAACUGACGCUGAGGAGCGAAAGCUAGGGGAGCAAACAGG
RNAcentral lists this ribosomal RNA (737 nucleotides) under uncultured Atopobium sp. RNAcentral describes it as "bacterial SSU rRNA". It matches the Rfam family "Bacterial small subunit ribosomal RNA", at positions 28 to 776 of the family's 1533-position model. Lineage: Bacteria; Bacillati; Actinomycetota; Coriobacteriia; Coriobacteriales; Atopobiaceae. The record is from RNAcentral.